This 490-nucleotide ribosomal RNA is filed under the name uncultured bacterium. RNAcentral describes it as "partial 16S ribosomal RNA". It matches the Rfam family "Bacterial small subunit ribosomal RNA", at positions 30 to 507 of the family's 1533-position model. The record is from RNAcentral.
AUUGAACGCUGGCGGCAGGCCUAACACAUGCAAGUCGAACGGUAACAGGAAGAAGCUUGCUUCUUUGCUGACGAGUGGCGGACGGGUGAGUAAUGUCUGGGAAACUGCCUGAUGGAGGGGGAUAACUACUGGAAACGGUAGCUAAUACCGCAUAACGUCGCAAGACCAAAGAGGGGGACCUUCGGGCCUCUUGCCAUCGGAUGUGCCCAGAUGGGAUUAGCUAGUAGGUGGGGUAACGGCUCACCUAGGCGACGAUCCCUAGCUGGUCUGAGAGGAUGACCAGCCACACUGGAACGUAGACACGGUCCAGACUCCUACGGGAGGCAGCAGUGGGGAAUAUUGCACAAUGGGCGCAAGCCUGAUGCAGCCAUGCCGCGUGUAUGAAGAAGGCCUUCGGGUUGUAAAGUACUUUCAGCGGGGAGGAAGGGAGUAAAGUUAAUACCUUUGCUCAUUGACGUUACCCGCAGAAGAAGCACCGGCUAACUCCGUG